Molecule: ribosomal RNA, 465 nt
Filed under: uncultured bacterium
Lineage: Bacteria
Description: partial 16S ribosomal RNA
Rfam family: Bacterial small subunit ribosomal RNA
Source: RNAcentral
CUACGGGAGGCUGCAGUGGGGAAUAUUGGACAAUGGGGGAAACCCUGAUCCAGCAAUGCCGCGUGUGUGAAGAAGGCCUGCGGGUUGUAAAGCACUUUCGGUUGGGAGGACUGCUUCUAGCACUAAUAUUGUUGGAAGUUGACGUUACCUUCAGAAGAAGCACCGGCCAACUCCGUGCCAGCAGCCGCGGUAAUACGGAGGGUGCAAUCGUUAAUCGGAAUUACUGGGCGUAAAGCGCGCGUAGGCGGCUAGAUCAGUCGGGUGUGAAAGCCCCGGGCUUAACCUGGGAACUGCAUCCGAUACUGUCUAGCUUGAGUACAGGAGAGGAGAGUGGAAUUCCACAUGUAGCGGUGAAAUGCGUAGAUAUGUGGAGGAACACCAAUGGCGAAGGCAGCUCUCUGGCCUGAUACUGACGCUGAGGUGCGAAAGCGUGGGGAGCAAACAGGAUUAGAUACCCUCGUAGUC